GAACAUUACAUUAUCUCACACAUACAAUCUCUACAAAAGUUGCUUACCUCAUUUACAUAAUAUAUUCAGUCGAUUGUAAAAUAAAUGUUCCAAUAUCUCCUAGUGUUACUAUGUUUCUGUGCUUGUGGGACUGAAUAAUGUAAUCUGCCACUUACUAAGUGAAAUUUAAAUGAUGGCACUUAAAAAAAAAUACAGUAUUUUAAAAAAACACAAUGAAAGAAGUUUUACCUAGAAGGUACGAAAGCCCUGAGUGAUAGUGGAAUUACUGAUUGGUAAGCACUACAAUUAACCUAAUUAAACGUUUACCACCCCAGGCACAAAUUUCCAAGUGUUCUCAAGGCACUCACUUAAGUUUCUGUAACCAAUGCAUUGGUCACCACCAUAGGUCCCAAUCGAUGAUGGAGAUGAGUAGAGAAAAAAAUUUGCUUUGGUACAAAAGAUGUUUUUUUAAAUGAAUACAAUUCAAUACCUCCUUUAUUGGGUCGUUUAAAAUUGUGUUUAGCAGGUUAAAACAAAGCAAUCAUUUGUUCAAAACUAUUAAUUCACUGAAGGAAAAAUUUACUUGGUUAUCAGCAGUCAAUGGGAGUUUUUCUUUUCUUCUUUCCUCCCCAGAAUCAUAAUUCUUCUAACAAAGAUUUGUGGUCCUCAUUAUUGAGCUACAUGAACAAUUCUUACCAAAGAUUUCAUUACUCAGGGCUUCCAAUUCCAAGAUCAUAAUUUAUUUAAAAAACAAAGGAAAGAGGGGAAAGAAAAGAAUCAAAUACCAGAACCAAAUGAAAGAAGAGACAAAACACGUUUCUGAAAAUAAGACGUAUUACCAAUUACUUCAAACAAAAGAAAAAAAAUCCUAGGCAGUCACUUUGUAAGUGGCUUUUACUAUUUAAGUAAAAUUGGUAAACUAAACUCAGGUCUACUGGCACAUAAAAUCACUAGCAGCAAUGAUCAAGGCAUGCAAACUGAGAAGCAUUUACAGUAAAUCAUCAUGAAGAAUUCAAAAGAAGAGAGUUAAAUUAAAACCCUUUGAGUAUUGCAUGUUAACACAUGAGUAAUUUGCAUGGUUUGACUUCCUAAACUGCCUAAAAAAAGCAACGUUGACGGCAAACUUGCACUAUGCUAUGGAUGUCCUUUCACCAGACAUCGGAAUAGGUUACACUCUCACGAGCGCCGGGCCAGGGCAGCGCAAGCGCAUCUGCAGAUGACACUGCUCUCCUGUUCCAUCACGCAGGGGACAGAGGGGUCAAUAUGAGCUUAAAAUCAAGUGCUUUGCUCUCCAUUCUAUCAAUGUAGAAUUUUUUGACAAAGUAUUAAAGUUUUGGAGCAUAGAUAAAAUUAUGCCCUGUAUGAAAUUCCCAAACAGUAUUUGAUGAGAGAUCUAACUCCAGAUAGCUUACCUGCCCUCGAAGAGUUCAGCUUUUCUUUAUCCACUUGAACUCGUUUCUUCCUAAGGCUUCACUUACAAUUGUACUUUCUAAAGCUAAAUAAACGAGAUCUUUUGUUUUGUUUUGGAAAAAAAAAAAGAGAAAGAAAUGUAACCCUUUCUUUAUCAUACCUUUUAAAGGCAAUCUAGGUACUUUCAAUGUGCAGAUCAGUUAUGACAUGGGUCUACAGGCCCAUGUGUUUGUCCUCCUUUUCUAGAGUCAUGAUGUGAUGCUAGAAAAGUUGAUUUGUUUUUUUCUGUAAACAGCACACUUACUUAGAUGGCAGUGAAUAUUUGGGAAUAAAUAUAUCAAGCCCUCUUGAAGAAAAUUAAGAGUUGUAUAUAAAAUGCAAGUGUCCAGCGUGGAAACACUUUCUCUUCCUACCCCCCCUUUAAAAAAACAGCAUAAUUAGACAUUUGGAUAUAGAGUAUAUUUUACCGGUCUAAGUCUAAAUAAAUGAUCUGAAAGGCUUUUGUCCCCCAUUGUAUAUCUUACAAUGCUCAAAGGGUUAAUACAAGGCAUUACAUCAAAGGGGUUUUCUAAUACUAGAACAAAGCACUGAAUUAAUGCUUCUAUUCCGGUUUUUAAAAAAAUCACCAAACUUGCAGAAAUACUAGGAUUCCAUUAAUUGAUCUGUUCUAACCAUAUACAUGGAGGUUGAUCUGAUCUAGUGACAAGCCCAAUUGUCAAUAGCACUGCAUGUCAACCCCUCUCCCCCAUGUUCUGAUGGGAUUCAUACAAAUCACCAGUUCUGAUUGCAAUGUUUCAAUGGCUGUUAUUUUCUCACCAAGGAUUCGGGGGAGGGGAAGUUAUAACAAAGGUCAAUUUGUUGUACCUAACCACUGCCUCAAGUUGUACACAAAGGUGACUUGCCGAAGUUUUUUACUUUCUACUUGUGUCCACACAGGGAGGACCAACAUCACAGUGACACACAUUUUCUUCCUUUUACACUAAUGUUUCAAGCACAGCAUUAUUUUAGACAUUUCAAAUAUAUCAUAUGAAGAAUUUUUUUAAAAUUUGAAAAUGCAUCACGUUUAGC
This is a long non-coding RNA of Equus caballus (horse), 2457 nucleotides long. The record is from Ensembl. NCBI's taxonomy places the organism in Eukaryota, Metazoa, Chordata, Mammalia, Perissodactyla, Equidae.